GAUUGUAACCGCUCCGGUAUACUAGUGGUUAGAGCGUCCGCCUCGGGUGCGGAGGUCGCGGGUUCGAUCCCCAGUUGAGUCA
Molecule: non-coding RNA, 82 nt
Organism: Potamilus streckersoni
Lineage: Eukaryota; Metazoa; Mollusca; Bivalvia; Unionida; Unionidae
Source: the annotation of a GenBank genome assembly